This is a non-coding RNA of Ictidomys tridecemlineatus (thirteen-lined ground squirrel), 2582 nucleotides long. NCBI's taxonomy places the organism in Eukaryota, Metazoa, Chordata, Mammalia, Rodentia, Sciuridae. The record is from RefSeq and is a predicted model, not a curated record.
GAAGCGGGCGCAGGUCCGGUGGCUGCGCGACUAGUUCUUCCGCGCUGCCAUGGUCAGCUUCCCAGGGUUCGAAGCUGGCUACCCAGAAGGCUGAUGGGGGCUAGGGGGAAAGUGACGCGACCCCACCCCUGUGCGCGUACGCGCUCGCCGCGCUCUCUGCGCGCUGUGGAAUAGCGCGAUUAUCCGCGUGACUCAUCCAGCCCGCCCUCUUUCGCACACGCACGCUGGAGUCCGGCUCCCGCCCCGCAGUGCUGGGGCAGGCGCUGGGCCUGGUCUCGCACGGGUCCUCGUGGGGCUGCCUGCCUGGUGGGGGUGGGGAUAGAGAGGAGGCGGUGCGCAGCAUUCGGUGGCGAGGAAUAGGAGCCUCAGAAGACUGGAGGAGUGUUCUCCUGCAACAGGCGGAGAGAAGCCAGAAUGGGAAGAGAGUCAUAGUUUUAAUAUUUAAAGGAGCGAAGAAAGGAGUGAAAGCAUUCAAGAUUUACUUUGGUGGGUGGAGAAGAGAAGAGGGACUGUGAGGCGCGGAGACACCUUUCAACCAGACAGCUCAAAGCACUUUACAAGCUACGCACUCUCCUUUCCACUUUAUGGAUAGGAAAACUGAGUCAUAAAGAGGUGAAAUGGCGAAGUAGAGGUCAAACGAUAGCUCGUUGUUUUAAGCCAAGGCUCCGAAUACGUCAAGCCCACCAAAAGGGACUUAGCUGGAAAGUAGCCAGGUGCCAGGAAGUGGCGUGACCAAGGUGGGACCCUGGUUCCCCCAAAGUGCACACCGAACCGGCACAGCCGUCCGUGUCCACCGGGAGGAGGAAAGGAAGAGGAGAUCAUUAUUACAAUCUUCUAACGCUGCCUCCCCACCCCACUCGCCCCUUAGUUGGUGAUCAGUAAUUUUCCAGUCGGGAAAUGUUUUCGCCCUCAUCUCUGCAAACAGUACUCUUUUUUUUUUUUUUUUUAAACGUGAGUGUGGUGUUCAGUAUCACUUGCUAAACGUAGGCUUGCGAGGUGUUUACUUUGGAUUCCAGCGCGCAGAGCCAGGCUCCGCCCGCGCCCUCUCUUCUGAGCCCCCUCUACAGUGACGGCUGCCUCUGGCCGGUGUCAGCCAAGGAAAGAAAAGGAAAGAGGGUCAAUGGGAAUAGGAGUCGAUACUCGGCACCACGCUGCGUGUGCGCUCAUCCUUCAUGGAACUCCAUUUGCCACGUCCUUUUGUGUUGUUGUUGUCACCUGUUUGAAUCUCGCGAUCCUGGUAACUAUUAGGUUUCCUCAGAAUAUUUGUUAUCCCUGAUUUUUCCACUCCUCGCCGACCACAGAAACAUUCUUGGAAUGUAUCUCGCCCCAAAAGAAUCGAGUCAGGACACUCUGCCAACAACAGGAAUCUCUUAAUAUCCAGGGUUGGACGCCGGUGAGGAUCCUCCAGCUUGGCUUUGGCGGAGGGGCGCGUGGGCGAGCCGCUGGGAGUGGGAAGCAUGAUUCGGCAGGGAAAUGGUGGUCUUCCCCUCUGGCAUCUCAAGGGGUUCAGUACCACCUCCAUAGGACCAAGCCAGUUAGUUUAACUUCGAAAAUAUUUCUCUUCCAAACGUAGGAAUCAAGAAAGGAAAACACCUGCUACCCCAUCCCCCACCCUUUCAUUAUGAUGGCGAAACCCACUUGGGAUGCUAGGACUUGAGGGCUGCAUGGGAAAUUUGCCACUUUUGCCUUAAGUCCCUACACCCUGGUGAACUUGGAUGAGCCCUUGAAUCGCAGCCAUCACCCUCGGGAUGUAAACAUAUAAGCCAGGACUUGGAAUUUACGACUUAAGUAGUCAGUGAACCAGAUUCCUUUCUGCUAUGCUUUUAUUUAUCUAAGGCAAUAGCCCCUCCCCCUCAAAAAAAAAAAAAAACACCAUGACCAGCACAAAGAAAAAAAAAACGAUCUUGUAAAGAUGAAUUGGAAAGCCGCUAUUAUUAUGUCACAUAAUUAAGACAAGAUUCUGAAACUCAGUUGAAAAAGAUGAAGAUUCCAAAUGAGCUUCUGAAGGUUAAAAAACAGUAUCUGUUAGCAGGCAACUAUUAUUCCUCCGACUGCGUCAUAAAGGGAAAUCGCUAUAUUCACCCAGAUUUCUAAAAGAGGUUUAGAACCUAGAGUUCACAAACCAUCCCCUUUCAAGGCAGGUGCCUGGUGCGACAACAAGGUUAUGACCCUCCCUCUCUUCAGAACAGACAUUUGUUGAAUGCUCCAUGAUGACAACAGAUUCAGACAGUCCCGUGGAAGAAAAGACUCUGGAAAGAUUGCUGUGUAAACUGUAGCAUUAUAAAGCUUAGGAAGAAAAGAAAAGAAGCAGCAAUUGAAAUGGAGAUCUUCAGGUGGCAACAAGGAAAUUGAGGCACAAGGAGGGGAAAGUUCUUCCUUAAGGAAAGACAAGGAUGUCACAUGACUGAAUUCAUAUGCAUGGACCCCACAGCUCUGGCUGUUUCAACAAACCACUGGAGCACUCCCAGGAGAAUGCCCCUUAUAGAUAAUUCUCCAAACCCCAUCUGAGCAUCUGGUGAAUGGUUGGAUCUUUCCUCAUGGCAGCUGGAAACCAGCAAGUAAAACAUUUACCAACUUAUUGA